AACGAACGCUGGCGGCAUGCCUAACACAUGCAAGUCGAACGAGACCUUCGGGUCUAGUGGCGCACGGGUGCGUAACGCGGGGGAACUUGCCCUUAGGUUCGGAAUAACUCCCCGAAAGGGGUGCUAAUAACGGAUAAUGUCAUCGGACCAACGACUUAUCGCUUUUGGAUGGGGCCGCGUUGGAUUGGGUAGUUGGUAGGGUAAAAGCCUACCAAGGCGACGUUCCAGACCUGGUCUGAGAGGGGGCUCAGCAACGCUUGGACUGCGGCACGGCCUAGAAGCCUACGGGGGGCAGCGGUGGAUAGUAUUGUGCGAGGGACCCUAGUCUGGCACCGCAGUGCCGCGUGUGUGAUCAAUGCCGUAGUGUUGUACUGCUCUUUUACCCGAGGUGUUAAUGACAGUACCGGGAGAAUAAGCUCCGGCUAACUCCGUG
RNAcentral lists this ribosomal RNA (433 nucleotides) under uncultured bacterium. Its description in RNAcentral is "partial 16S ribosomal RNA". It matches the Rfam family "Bacterial small subunit ribosomal RNA", at positions 29 to 507 of the family's 1533-position model. The record is from RNAcentral.